RNAcentral lists this long non-coding RNA (1605 nucleotides) under Agrilus planipennis (emerald ash borer). RNAcentral describes it as "uncharacterized LOC108742523, transcript variant X1". Lineage: Eukaryota; Metazoa; Arthropoda; Insecta; Coleoptera; Buprestidae. The record is from RNAcentral.
UUAAAAUAUUUGCCCUUUAAAAUCGGUGGUGCAAGAACAUAAUAAUGUGGAGUUCCUGGCAAAUUGGAUUGGAGUCCCUUAAGGAAGGUACAAUGUGCUCUGGAUGAUGUAGCACAUGACCUGAGUCCUUCCAUGUGACACAAGAGAAGAUGUGGAUAUCGGUGGUUCGGUGUUACUUAUCAGUGAUUAGCAAGGCUCAUGCGUCAGCUUCGAAUAACUUCGCAACCAUUAUCACAAGUUCUUCAGUUAAGUUGUUAUACGGUCAACGAAAAGACAGCGAUUCGCGCGUUGUUUCUCGUUUAUUCACAUUAAUUAUGGAAGACACCCAGAUUUCAUUUUUGGAAACUACUAACUAAUACCUGGGCACUAUGUACAUUAUCCAUCAGAAAAGGUGGAGGUGUUCAAAUUCAAAGUUGGCGGGCUGCUGUAUGACGCGAAAGAAAAAAGUUACACAAAACACAAGCUUCGUGCCUUUAAGGCUUCAAGUUCGGUCAUGUUAAACUUUUUUGGCCGCCAAGCGAAGUGUCGUCUCAUCAGUUUUAAGUAGCAACUGAAAGAGCAAGUUGUCUCGUUUUUUGUCAUGGUGUUCUUUUCAUUUUGGAGGAUCUUGUAGUUAAUUAAGGAACACUGAAAAAACCUGGAUGGCAUCAAUUCCGCAUUCGCUCGAGGAAGUAGGUGUACGUACGGUCCUAAUGAAUUCAUGAACGUGCAUUUUUUCAUUGGAACGGAAAUAGUGUGCGUUGCUAAAGGAAAGAUUUAUAACAGUGAACUGAUUGACAAACAAAUGAGAAGUGGUUGCUAAUUUUGACCCUAGAAGUGACAAUAAGUAAAAUCUGCAUUGGUUUUGUCUUUUGCAUGUGUGAAGUUCAGAACGUUAGAGUCUGCAGUUCAUCAAGAUUGACGAUAAAUAAAAGUGGAAGUGUUCAUUUUGAUGCUACUGAAAAAGCAAGUUUGUCUGCUGUGAGAAUCUUGUAAUAAAUUUAGGAACAUUAUAAAAACUUGGGAUGCCAUUAAAUUAUAGAGCAUUAAUUGAAUCAGUCUUCAGUCGUUGUAGUAAGCAGCUGCACCUACGGUCCCAGAAAAAGCAUGAAAGUGUUCUUUUCCCCGUUGAUAAUGGAACAAGUGUGCCGUUGCUAAUGGAAGGAUUUGUGAUGAUUAAUGUACUGGUAAGAAACAGUAUCAAUUAAAAACAGUAAAUGAGGUCCCAGAAACUUCAAUUUUUUAGACUUUCAAUGGAUCUUUUUAAACACUUGUUUCACAGAACAGCAGAAUUAACGUGGUACUGACAUUUCCAUCAUUGUGAAAAUGUUCCCAAUUUAUUUGCUUUUAAAAGUAGUAAAUAAUUUUUAUUGCCCGUUUCUGUAGAUUGUACUACAAAAGAGAAGGAAUUGCUUUUGAUGUCUUCACCUUACAACAUUAUGGAGUAGGAGUUAAGUGGAAAUUAAUUUGGAGAUGACUGAAACAACAGAAUGCCUGCAGUGGUAUUCCUCUUGGACUUGGCUUGCUCAUUGCACUUAUGGACUUUAGAACGCUACUUUCUGCAGUUACUUAAUUAAGAUUGUCUAAGAAAUAAGUUCAGUUUGGUCCUACUGAAACAACCAAUGU